AUACGGAGGGAGCAAGCGUUAUUCGGAAUCACUGGGCGUAAAGGACGCGUAGGCGGGUUUGUAAGUCAGGUGUGAAAUCCUACAGCUCAACUGUAGAACUGCACUUGAAACUACAGACCUAGAGUAUGGAAGGGGCAGAUGGAAUUAGUGGUGUAGGGGUAAAAUCCGUAGAUAUCACUAGGAAUACCGAAAGCGAAGGCGAUCUGCUGGGACAUUACUGACGCUGAGGCGUGAAAGCGUGGGGAGCAAACAGGAUUAGAUACCCUUGUAGUCC
Molecule: ribosomal RNA, 274 nt
Filed under: uncultured bacterium
Lineage: Bacteria
Description: partial 16S ribosomal RNA
Rfam family: Bacterial small subunit ribosomal RNA
Source: RNAcentral